UGAUCUCUCCAACCGACCAGCAGGUCC
RNAcentral lists this non-coding RNA (27 nucleotides) under Homo sapiens (human). The record is from RNAcentral. Lineage: Eukaryota; Metazoa; Chordata; Mammalia; Primates; Hominidae.